AAUAAAUAGGCCAUACAAGUGUGAGUAUUGUUGGGUCAUCGAAUUAAGAGCAUCUACAGUUAAAACACACCUUCAAGUGUGGUGCAGUAGUCCAUCUUCGGAAUGGGUUACGUUGUCGGAACAUUGUAGUUCUAAUGGACCGUCCCUGCCCACAUCCAUAUCACCAACCCUCGCAUAAUGAUGUAGCCUAGUGUAAGACGUAAUAUUUUUUAGUAAAACUUUAUCCUGAGCCAAACUUUGAGUUUGUGUUGUAAGCACACUGCUAUGUCAAUUAUGAAUUAAUAACUCAUCUUUCCAUUAUUGAACUAUGUGUUUGGGCCAGACUCCCCAGUGGGUGGGACUGGAAAACCUUGAAAUAUAUAUUUGUAGUGGACUUCAAAGGUUUUCUUGUAAUAUUAUACCUACUACUUUGUAUGUCAAUAAUGGUAUCCAUUGAGGCCUAUGCCAUCAGUGGAAGGAGUUUUUUUCUUGUCCUUUGGGGUGCUUCAGUUACAGAAUGUCAUACACAUAUUCCCUGAAAAGCCCCUUGAGACUAACCAUGAUUAAAAGCUUAAAAAUACAA
Molecule: long non-coding RNA, 562 nt
Organism: Gadus macrocephalus (Pacific cod)
Lineage: Eukaryota; Metazoa; Chordata; Actinopteri; Gadiformes; Gadidae
Exons: 3
Source: RefSeq, a predicted model, not a curated record